AGAGUUUGAUCAUGGCUCAGGAUGAACGCUGGCGGCGUGCUUAACACAUGCAAGUCGAACGAUGAUCCGGUGCUUGCAUCAGGGAUUAGUGGCGAACGGGUGAGUAACACGUGAGUAACCUGCCCUUGACUCUGGGAUAAGCCUGGGAAACUGGGUCUAAUACCGGAUAUGACCAUCUGACGCAUGUCAUGGUGGUGGAAAGCUUUUGUGGUUUUGGAUGGACUCGCGGCCUAUCAGCUUGUUGGUGGGGUAAUGGCCUACCAAGGCGACGACGGGUAGCCGGCCUGAGAGGGUGACCGGCCACACUGGGACUGAGACACGGCCCAGACCCCUACGGGAGGCAGCAGUGGGGAAUAUUGCACAAUGGGCGCAAGCCUGAUGCAGCGACGCCGCGUGAGGGAUGACGGCCUUCGGGUUGUAAACCUCUUUCAGUAGGGAAGAAGCGAAAGUGACGGUACCUGCAGAAGAAGCGCCGGCUAACUACGUGCCAGCAGCCGCGGUAAUACGUAGGGCGCAAGCGUUAUCCGGAAUUAUUGGGCGUAAAGAGCUCGUAGGCGGUUUGUCGCGUCUGCUGUGAAAGACCGGGGCUCAACUCCGGUUCUGCAGUGGGUACGGGCAGACUAGAGUGCAGUAGGGGAGACUGGAAUUCCUGGUGUAGCGGUGAAAUGCGCAGAUAUCAGGAGGAACACCGAUGGCGAAGGCAGGUCUCUGGGCUGUAACUGACGCUGAGGAGCGAAAGCAUGGGGAGCGAACAGGAUUAGAUACCCUGGUAGU
RNAcentral lists this ribosomal RNA (774 nucleotides) under uncultured bacterium. RNAcentral describes it as "bacterial SSU rRNA". It matches the Rfam family "Bacterial small subunit ribosomal RNA", at positions 8 to 794 of the family's 1533-position model. The record is from RNAcentral.